Molecule: ribosomal RNA, 253 nt
Filed under: uncultured bacterium
Lineage: Bacteria
Description: partial 16S ribosomal RNA
Rfam family: Bacterial small subunit ribosomal RNA
Source: RNAcentral
UACGAAGGGGGCUAGCGUUGCUCGGAAUCACUGGGCGUAAAGCGCGCGUAGGCGGAUCUUUAAGUCAGGGGUGAAAUCCCGGGGCUCAACCCCGGAACUGCCUUUGAUACUGUGGAUCUUGAGUCCGGAAGAGGUGAGUGGAACUGCGAGUGUAGAGGUGAAAUUCGUAGAUAUUCGCAAGAACACCGGUGGCGAAGGCGGCUCACUGGUCCGGAACUGACGCUGAGGCACGACAGCGUGGGGAGCAAACAGG